This 73-nucleotide transfer RNA is filed under the name Camelus bactrianus (Bactrian camel). It matches the Rfam family "tRNA". Rfam says of the family: Transfer RNA (tRNA) molecules are approximately 80 nucleotides in length. RNAcentral also lists the same sequence under 2 other names. Lineage: Eukaryota; Metazoa; Chordata; Mammalia; Artiodactyla; Camelidae. The record is from Rfam by way of RNAcentral.
GAGGGUAUAGCUCAAGUGGUAGAGUGCAUGCUUAGCAUACAUGAGUUUCUGGGUUCAAUCCCCAGUGCCUCCU